This 328-nucleotide ribosomal RNA is filed under the name uncultured eukaryote. RNAcentral describes it as "partial 18S ribosomal RNA". It matches the Rfam family "Eukaryotic small subunit ribosomal RNA", at positions 1470 to 1796 of the family's 1831-position model. The record is from RNAcentral.
CCCUUAGAUGUCCGGGGCUGCACGCGCGCUACACUGAAGGAAUCAGCGUGCUAAAACCAUUGUCGAAAGGCAUUGGUAAACCCAUUAAAAUCCUACGUGAUUGGGAUCGGGAAUUGCAAUUAUUUCCCUUGAACGAGGAAUUCCCAGUAAGUGUGGGCCAUAAGCUCGCGUUGAUUACGUCCCUGCCCUUUGUACACACCGCCCGUCGCUGCCCGGGACUGAGCCGUUUCGAGAAAAGCGGGGACUGCUGCUGUCGGGGCUUUCGGGCCUUGGCUUCGGUGGAAACCGCUUUAAUCGCAGUGGCUUGAACCGGGCAAAAGUCGUANCA